RNAcentral lists this ribosomal RNA (433 nucleotides) under uncultured bacterium. Its description in RNAcentral is "partial 16S ribosomal RNA". It matches the Rfam family "Bacterial small subunit ribosomal RNA", at positions 29 to 507 of the family's 1533-position model. The record is from RNAcentral.
AACGAACGCUGGCGGCAUGCCUAACACAUGCAAGUCGAACGAGACCUUCGGGUCUAGUGGCGCACGGGUGCGUAACGCGUGGGAACCUGCCCUUAGGUUCGGAAUAACUCCCCGAAAGGGGUGCUAAUACCGGAUAAUGUCUUCGGACCAAAGAUUUAUCGCCUUUGGAUGGGCCCGCGUUGGAUUAGCUAGUUGGUAGGGUAAAAGCCUACCAAGGCGACGAUCCAUAGCUGGUCUGAGAGGAUGAUCAGCCACACUGGGACUGAGACACGGCCCAGACUCCUACGGGAGGCAGCAGUGGGGAAUAUUGGACAAUGGGCGAAAGCCUGAUCCAGCAAUGCCGCGUGAGUGAUGAAGGCCUUAGGGUUGUAAAGCUCUUUUACCCGGGAUGACAAUGACAGUACCGGGAGGAUAAGCUCCGGCUAACUCCGUG